UCCGGCUUAUCACCGGCAGUCGCCUUAGAGUGCCCAACUAAAUGAUGGCAACUAAGGCCGAGGGUUGCGCUCGUUGCGGGACUUAACCCAACAUCUCACGACACGAGCUGACGACAGCCAUGCAGCACCUGGACAUCAGGUUCCCCGAAGGGCACAUCCACAUCUCUGCGGACUUCCUGAGAGUUCUAACCCGGGUAAGGUUCUUCGCGUUGCGUCGAAUUAAACCACAUGCUCCACCGCUUGUGCAGGCCCCCGUCAAUUUCUUUGAGUUUUAACCUUGCGGCCGUACUCCCCAGGCGGAUGACUUAACGCGUUAGCUGCGCCACCGAAGCGCUAAGCGCCCCGACGGCUAGUCAUCAUCGUUUACAGCGUGGACUAC
This 379-nucleotide unclassified non-coding RNA is filed under the name uncultured Alphaproteobacteria bacterium. Its description in RNAcentral is "contains 16S-23S intergenic spacer region". Lineage: Bacteria; Pseudomonadati; Pseudomonadota; Alphaproteobacteria. The record is from RNAcentral.